RNAcentral lists this ribosomal RNA (108 nucleotides) under Chrysemys picta bellii (western painted turtle). Lineage: Eukaryota; Metazoa; Chordata; Testudines; Emydidae. The record is from RNAcentral.
UUCUGCAGUUGUAUCACUUUGGGCUAGGAUUUUGUAAAGGAGGCAUGGUUGGACCUGGAGAGUACUUGGAUGGGGGACCUUCGAGGAAAAGCCCAACCACUGCUGGAA